Long non-coding RNA from Xenopus laevis (African clawed frog), 1801 nucleotides. RefSeq lists it as uncharacterized. Lineage: Eukaryota; Metazoa; Chordata; Amphibia; Anura; Pipidae. The record is from RefSeq and is a predicted model, not a curated record. The transcript has 3 exons.
AAAUAAAGUAUAGAAUGUAAUAGAGUCUUUCUCUUCUCCUUCAGCCACAGGUGGAAUCCAGACCCCUCUCCGAGAUUUAUAAGGUGAGUAGAAAGGAGGUUAAAACACUCACCACUACUGCCUUAAGUGAGACAUGUUUUGUACCCUGGGGAAUAUUAUGGUAUCAAUAAAAUCCUUCUUUUUUCUAUUUUAUUUUCCAGCCUCCUGAUGGUCGGCUGACUAAGGAUGUGCUUCUUGGAGAGGGCGGCACCGGAGACGUCUACAAGGUAAGGGACCAACCAAUUCCUAGAGAGUAGGGGAACUGAACAAGAUUGUUAUCACUACACACAAUCACACAAUGAUUUAGGCAGACAUAUCAAGCUUCGGGUUUGGGGGCUGCAUUAGACCCUCUCUUUCCUACUUGUAUAUAAGUCAACCUUUCUGUCUGUAUUACAGGGACGACACCAUCGUAAAGGCGUGGUAGCAGUGAAGAUCGCCAACAUCAGCCGAGUACUGUAUCUUUAUAAUUCCAUUCUCUAAAUAUCAAUCCUAUUUGUGUAGUUGCCUAUGUGAGCUAAAGGGAUUUCUAUUAUUCCACUCCAGGAUGAAGAGUCAGUCGUGAGGGAGCUAAAGUUUCUCCAGCAGUUCGGCAGCCACAAGAACAUCUUCUCUUACUAUGGAGCCUACUACAGGGCUCCACUCACAGAGUGCUCAUCGGAGCUCUUGGAAGUAAGAAAUGAUUUACUGUAUCGUGUUCAUUCCUCUUAUGCCAAAGCAAUCUCCACUGGAAGUGACAGAAAACAGGACCUUAAAUAAUGUCUAUAUAUUGCAGAUUGUUCUUGAAUACUGUGGUGGAGGCUCUCUCUCCAACCUCAUCAGCAAGACCAAUGGCCAAUACCUGAAGGAGACCUGGAUUGGCUAUGUCUGCAAGGAGGUUUUAAAGGGGCUGCACCACAUCCACAAGAACCGGCCGUUCAUAGACACAUCAAGAGCAUGAACAUCAUGCUCACAGAGACGGCCAAAGUGAAAAUCAGUGAGUAAAACUUACUGUUAUAAGAGUAAUGGAUGAUGGGGAGCUUCUGUGAAUAUGGAGUCAGGGGGUUUCAUAAUUCAGGUUUCUAUCUUAUUGUGGUUAAACAAGUUAUUUUCCAUUAAUAGAUUCUGUCAUUUCAGUCGACUUUGGAAACAGCUGGGACCUGGACCCGCAUACUGGAUUGUGCCACGAGGCGGAUGAGACUCUACAUUGGAUGGCACCCGAGGCCAUAAGGCAGAAGGGUCAGCGCCUGGCGUACGACACCAAAUGUGACAUCUGGUCGCUGGGGAUAACCAUCGAAAUGGCCGAGGGAAAACCACGUAAGUGAAUCACAAGCAUCGGUGGAGCACCUGAUAAGAGAAGCACAACCACUGAAGCUUCAAUUAAAUAGAUGGUGAGUCGGUCCCAGCUCUUGUCACUAUACAUUGUACCUGAGCUUGCAGACAUGGAACGCCCCACAUUUUCUUAUUAACACUUGGGACAUUUGGCAACUCCUAUAUCCACUUAACCGCUUCCACAGUCUGCCCUCACCAUGCCCCUUGUCUGUACAAAUUUGGGAUAAUGGGGAGAUUUCAGUCUCAGCUCAGGGGGAUGUGAUAUAUUUUUAAAUACCUCCUAAAUAUAAAUAGAGAUUUUUCUACUGCAGACUUUAAAUGUGGCCCUUGAGAUGCAGGCAGGGAUAUGUGUGUUGUCAGGGAAAUAUAGGUGGACACAGAGCAGAUAUGAUAUAUUUUAUUUAUAUUCACUGUCUAUGUCUCGGGGGCAUAACAGUAUAACUAUGGGCCCAAG